Molecule: transfer RNA, 94 nt
Filed under: Dehalococcoidia bacterium
Lineage: Bacteria; Bacillati; Chloroflexota; Dehalococcoidia
Description: tRNA-OTHER
Rfam family: tRNA
About the family: Transfer RNA (tRNA) molecules are approximately 80 nucleotides in length.
Source: RNAcentral
GCCCCGGUGGCUAAGCCCGGUUAUAGCGGCGGCCUUGUAUGCGUAGACACAAGAAAGCCGCAGGUCGCGGGUUCGAAUCCCGCCCGGGGCUCCA